UGGGGAAUAUUGCGCAAUGGGCGAAACCCUGACGCAGCGACGCCGCGUGAGCGAUGAAGGCCUUAGGGUUGUAAAACUCUGUUUUAAGGGACGAAUGUCGGUGGGAGUAAUAUGUCCGCCGAAUGACGGUACCUUAAGAGGAAGCCCCGGCUAACUACGU
This 160-nucleotide ribosomal RNA is filed under the name uncultured bacterium. RNAcentral's name for it is "partial 16S rRNA". It matches the Rfam family "Bacterial small subunit ribosomal RNA", at positions 355 to 506 of the family's 1533-position model. The record is from RNAcentral.